RNAcentral lists this ribosomal RNA (626 nucleotides) under uncultured fungus. RNAcentral's name for it is "eukaryotic LSU rRNA". It matches the Rfam family "Eukaryotic large subunit ribosomal RNA", at positions 24 to 664 of the family's 3401-position model. Lineage: Eukaryota; Fungi. The record is from RNAcentral.
CCCGCUGAACUUAAGCAUAUCAAUAAGCGGAGGAAAAGAAACCAACAGGGAUUGCCUUAGUAACGGCGAGUGAAGCGGCAACAGCUCAAAUUUGAAAUCUGGCUCUUUCAGGGUCCGAGUUGUAAUUUGUAGAAGAUGCUUCGGGUGUGGUACCGGUCUAAGUUCCUUGGAACAGGACGUCAUAGAGGGUGAGAAUCCCGUAUGUGACUGGUCACCUUCGCUCAUGUGAAGCUCUUUCGACGAGUCGAGUUGUUUGGGAAUGCAGCUCAAAAUGGGUGGUAAAUUUCAUCUAAAGCUAAAUAUUGGCCAGAGACCGAUAGCGCACAAGUAGAGUGAUCGAAAGAUGAAAAGCACUUUGGAAAGAGAGUUAAACAGUACGUGAAAUUGUUGAAAGGGAAGCGCUUGCAACCAGACUUGCACGUAGUUAAUCAUCCGGGGUUCUCCCCGGUGCACUUGGCUACGUUCAGGCCAGCAUCGGUUUCGGUGGUUGGAUAAAGGCCUAGGGAAUGUGGCUCUCUUCGGGGAGUGUUAUAGCCCUAGGUGCAAUGCAGCCCACUGGGACCGAGGACCGCGCUUUGGCUAGGAUGCUGGCGUAAUGGUUGUAAGCGACCCGUCUUGAAACACGG